Long non-coding RNA from Acanthopagrus latus (yellowfin seabream), 1799 nucleotides. RefSeq lists it as uncharacterized. The record is from RefSeq and is a predicted model, not a curated record. The transcript is spliced from 2 exons. NCBI's taxonomy places the organism in Eukaryota, Metazoa, Chordata, Actinopteri, Spariformes, Sparidae.
UCCCUGACAGCAGCAUCUCCGCUCCGUCGCGCUGCGCCCGUCAGCAGUCACAGGGAACCGGCCGGGACUCCGCCAGCUCCACUUCAUUAGCGGUGCGCGCUGCCCACGGCCAUAUUGCCAAAAGACGGUCGUGGAGAGUUUGGUGACCCACUUCGAGACAAGAGAAAGUUCCCGCCUGACAGACAAUUCGGGGAAGUUUGGGGAGACAGGGCGUUCCUUCUCAACAUUUUUCGCAAACGUGUUUUGCAGCUGAGGCGCGCAGGGAGGAUUACGGACACCAGAGACAAGAGUUGGAAUCUGUGGAGCUGAAGUGCCCGACGUGGCAGCCGAUCUGAGACGUGCCCCUGAGGUGUGAUGUGAGCACAGUCGGCCAUGGAUCAUGAAAUGAGGCUGGGCCUGUCCGUGUGGGCCAUCGUGGCCAUCGCUUGCAACUCUGUGGUCGGCGUCCUUAUUCUCAUUCUCUUCGUCAUCCUCUACAAGGCUUGCAAGGUGCCUUCACACCCGGAGAAAGUGCCAGUUUUAAUAGCAGAGCCGCAGCAGAAGAAGGCGGAACAGAAGUACCUGCUGACUGCAGCCUGAUGAUGAACACACUGGCUUGAGAUUUAGACCAAAAAUUUGAAUACGGGGUGUUUAGAAGAACACUUUUGUCGUUAUUUUGUUUAACAUACUGUUCACAUUUCCCCAUCAGCCCCGCAUCCAUGCCAUUCAGAGGAGCUCAGAGUGAGCUAACGGCGCUAAGAGUUGUAGCAAGACCAACCACAACAACAAGCGCGGCCCAAUCCUCUUAUCUCUGCUGUGCGUCGCUGGGACUGUCCAUCUGUCAGUCUGUUUGCUUUCCUCCACACAGGCAGACCAUGAUCUCCUCCUCUGCUCCAUUCUUUUUCAUCCCUCCACACGAGACGAGUGAGAGGCGGUGGAGGAAAGGCAGGCAAAAAACAAUGGAUUGUAGCGGCAAAGUUCGGGGCGACGGGGUCGGCUGAGAGUCGCAAUCACAUUUUAGAGAGGUGAAGAGAAAGAAAUUGAUUUGUAGCUGCCAGCUGCAGCACUAAUGAUGGCAGCGACAGCGCUGUAAACAGACGACAGGUACGAACCGAAAGCCCGACAGAGUGAGGAGGGAGACAGACGCCGCUGGAGGAAGUGUUUAAGAGUCAAGGAGACGGGGCGGAGAGGGCAGAUAUUUGGUGGGGAUAAUAAAGUGCAGGGGAAGAAUUGUGCUUUGAUGUUCUGUUUACAGAAAGCAGCUCGAGGCCCCUGUUUGACAGUCUCCUUAUUUGACACAAAAAGUCUCCGCAUCCAGCAAUCCGACUCCCGUGGGAUUAAAAGCAACAGAAAAAAUACAGCUCGUUCCCCGGUGUGCCUCUCUUUCAACUCGUGAGCUCCCCAUAAAGACUGAAUACGAUAUUUAUAGGCUGCCUUCAGCAGAAAUGACAGACUGAACACUCACGGUCUCAGAGUAACGAGUGAAUAUUGUAUUUAUUGUAGUGAACGCACUACAGCUAACACACAACUGUGAUGUCUACGUCAUCAGAAGAGAAAGUGCUGCAUAACAGUAUACCUGUUUGUCUCAUUCUUAUUAUUGAAAUGGCUCUCAACAGAAAUGUACAUUGUUUUGUUUUGGAAAAAAAAAAGAGUCAGUUAACCUCUAAUCUCACGUCUGAGUUAACUCGCUUUUAGUCCAAACUGUUGAUUUCCUGUGCAGAACUUUCUGUUCUGCUUAUUUUUUGCAAUAUUUCUGUGCAACUCACAUGUAAUGUGAAAGUCAAUUGUGCCGAAAUGAAAUAAAUACAUCUAACAUUUAA